This 922-nucleotide ribosomal RNA is filed under the name Microbacterium sp. Its description in RNAcentral is "bacterial SSU rRNA". It matches the Rfam family "Bacterial small subunit ribosomal RNA", at positions 56 to 990 of the family's 1533-position model. The record is from RNAcentral. Lineage: Bacteria; Bacillati; Actinomycetota; Actinomycetes; Micrococcales; Microbacteriaceae.
UGCAGUCGACGGUGACACGGAGCUUGCUCUGUGGGAUCAGUGGCGAACGGGUGAGUAACACGUGAGCAACCUGCCCCUGACUCUGGGAUAAGCGCUGGAAACGGCGUCUAAUACUGGAUAUGUGACGUGACCGCAUGGUCUGCGUCUGGAAAGAAUUUCGGUUGGGGAUGGGCUCGCGGCCUAUCAGCUUGUUGGUGAGGUAAUGGCUCACCAAGGCGUCGACGGGUAGCCGGCCUGAGAGGGUGACCGGCCACACUGGGACUGAGACACGGCCCAGACUCCUACGGGAGGCAGCAGUGGGGAAUAUUGCACAAUGGGCGCAAGCCUGAUGCAGCAACGCCGCGUGAGGGACGACGGCCUUCGGGUUGUAAACCUCUUUUAGCAGGGAAGAAGCGAAAGUGACGGUACCUGCAGAAAAAGCGCCGGCUAACUACGUGCCAGCAGCCGCGGUAAUACGUAGGGCGCAAGCGUUAUCCGGAAUUAUUGGGCGUAAAGAGCUCGUAGGCGGUUUGUCGCGUCUGCUGUGAAAUCCGGAGGCUCAACCUCCGGCCUGCAGUGGGUACGGGCAGACUAGAGUGCGGUAGGGGAGAUUGGAAUUCCUGGUGUAGCGGUGGAAUGCGCAGAUAUCAGGAGGAACACCGAUGGCGAAGGCAGAUCUCUGGGCCGUAACUGACGCUGAGGAGCGAAAGGGUGGGGAGCAAACAGGCUUAGAUACCCUGGUAGUCCACCCCGUAAACGUUGGGAACUAGUUGUGGGGUCCAUUCCACGGAUUCCGUGACGCAGCUAACGCAUUAAGUUCCCCGCCUGGGGAGUACGGCCGCAAGGCUAAAACUCAAAGGAAUUGACGGGGACCCGCACAAGCGGCGGAACAUGCGGAUUAAUUCGAUGCAACGCGAAAAACCUUACCAAGGCUUGACAUAUA